UACAGAGGGUGCAAGCGUUGUUCGGAAUUAUUGGGCGUAAAGAGCGUGUAGGCGGCCUGAAAGGUCAGCUGUGAAAACUCGAGGCUCAACCUCGAGACGUCGGUUGAAACCAUCUGGCUAGAGUCCGGAAGAGGAGUGUGGAAUUCCCGGUGUAGCGGUGAAAUGCGCAGAUAUCGGGAAGAACACCCGUGGCGAAGGCGGCACUCUGGGACGGUACUGACGCUGAGACGCGAAAGCGUGGGGAGCGAACAGG
This 253-nucleotide ribosomal RNA is filed under the name uncultured bacterium. Its description in RNAcentral is "partial 16S ribosomal RNA". It matches the Rfam family "Bacterial small subunit ribosomal RNA", at positions 524 to 776 of the family's 1533-position model. The record is from RNAcentral.